This 253-nucleotide ribosomal RNA is filed under the name uncultured bacterium. Its description in RNAcentral is "partial 16S ribosomal RNA". It matches the Rfam family "Bacterial small subunit ribosomal RNA", at positions 524 to 776 of the family's 1533-position model. The record is from RNAcentral.
UACGAAGGGGGCUAGCGUUGCUCGGAAUUACUGGGCGUAAAGCGCACGUAGGCGGCUUUCUAAGUCGGGGGUGAAAUCCUGGAGCUCAACUCCAGAACUGCCUUCGAUACUGGAGAGCUCGAGUCCGGGAGAGGUGAGUGGAACUGCGAGUGUAGAGGUGAAAUUCGUAGAUAUUCGGAAGAACACCAGUGGCGAAGGCGACUCACUGGACACGUAUUGACGCUGAGGUGCGAAAGCGUGGGGAGCAAACAGG